This 67-nucleotide transfer RNA is filed under the name Urva javanica (small Asian mongoose). RNAcentral's name for it is "tRNA-Lys". It matches the Rfam family "tRNA". From Rfam's summary of the family: Transfer RNA (tRNA) molecules are approximately 80 nucleotides in length. Their secondary structure includes four short double-helical elements and three loops (D, anti-codon, and T loops). The record is from RNAcentral. Lineage: Eukaryota; Metazoa; Chordata; Mammalia; Carnivora; Herpestidae.
CAUUAAGAAGCUAAACAAGCGUUAACCUUUUAAGUUAAAGACUGGGAAUUUAACCUCCCCUUAGUGA